RNAcentral lists this transfer RNA (74 nucleotides) under Deltaproteobacteria bacterium. RNAcentral's name for it is "tRNA-Gln". It matches the Rfam family "tRNA". From Rfam's summary of the family: Transfer RNA (tRNA) molecules are approximately 80 nucleotides in length. Their secondary structure includes four short double-helical elements and three loops (D, anti-codon, and T loops). Further hydrogen bonds mediate the characteristic L-shaped molecular structure. tRNAs have two regions of fundamental functional importance: the anti-codon, which is responsible for specific mRNA codon recognition, and the 3' end, to which the tRNAs corresponding amino acid is attached (by aminoacyl-tRNA synthetases). tRNAs cope with the degeneracy of the genetic code in two manners: having more than one tRNA (with a specific anti-codon) for a particular amino acid; and 'wobble' base-pairing, i.e. permitting non-standard base-pairing at the 3rd anti-codon position. The record is from RNAcentral. Lineage: Bacteria; Pseudomonadati; Myxococcota; Myxococcia.
UCGGGGUUCGUCUAACGGUAGGACAGCGGCCUUUGGAGCCGCCCGUGGAGGUUCGAAUCCUCCACCCCGAGCCA